Molecule: small nuclear RNA, 100 nt
Organism: Sarcophilus harrisii (Tasmanian devil)
Lineage: Eukaryota; Metazoa; Chordata; Mammalia; Dasyuromorphia; Dasyuridae
Source: Ensembl
UCACUUUAGCAGUGCCUAGAUUAAAUUAAAAUGACAUAGAGAAAAUUUGCAUGACUUCUGGACAAGAAUGACAUGCAAAUUUGUGAAGUUCCAAAUUUAA